This 253-nucleotide ribosomal RNA is filed under the name uncultured bacterium. RNAcentral describes it as "partial 16S ribosomal RNA". It matches the Rfam family "Bacterial small subunit ribosomal RNA", at positions 15 to 257 of the family's 1533-position model. The record is from RNAcentral.
GAUCCUGGCUCAGAUUGAACGCUGGCGGCAGGCCUAACACAUGCAAGUCGAACGGUAACAGAAAGCAGCUUGCUGCUUUGCUGACGAGUGGCGGACGGGUGAGUAAUGUCUGGGAAACUGCCCGAUGGAGGGGGAGUAACUACUGGAAACGGUAGCUAAUACCGCAUAACGUCGCAAGACCAAAGAGGGGGACCGUUCGGGCCGUCUUGCCACUCGGAGUGUGCCCACGAUGGGAGUUAGCUAGUAGGUGGGG